Molecule: ribosomal RNA, 414 nt
Filed under: Pisidium cf. globulare TS-2022_RU
Lineage: Eukaryota; Metazoa; Mollusca; Bivalvia; Venerida; Sphaeriidae
Description: partial 16S rRNA
Rfam family: Bacterial large subunit ribosomal RNA
Source: RNAcentral
AUUUUGAGAUUAUAUUUUAAUAAGAAAUUUUUUUAAACGGCUGCAAUUAAUAGUUGUGCUAAGGUAGCGUAAUCAUUUGCCCCUUAAUUAGGGGAAGGUAUGAAUGGUUUGACGUGGGAAGAGCUGUCUCUUUUGUAUAAAAAGAAGUUUAUUUUUGAGUGAAAAAGCUUAAAUGUUUUUAAAAGACGAGAAGACCCUAUCGAACUUGAAUUAUGUACUAAUAUUUAUGGGUGCAAAAAAUUUAGUUGGGGAAACUUAAAGUUAAAAAGAACGCUUUUUUGUUGUAAAAUGAUCCUGUAUUAUGGAAAAAUGAAAAAGUUACCGUAGGGAUAACAGCGCUUUCUUCUCUGAGAGGACUAAUUAAAGAGUUGGUUGCGACCUCGAUGUUGGAUUAAGGUUUCUUUUUGGGGUAGG